AGAGUUUGAUCCUGGCUCAGGAUAAACGCUGGCGGUGCGCCUUAUGCAUGCAAGUCGAACGGGGUUACAGUCUUCGGAUUGUAACCUAGUGGCGGACGGCUGAGUAACGCGUAAGUAACCUGCCUUAGAGUGGGAAAUAACCUGCCGAAAGGCAUGCUAAUGUCCCAUGUGGUAACGAAGCAAAUGCUUUGUUAUUAAAGCCUUAGGGUGCUCGAAGAGGGACUUGCGUCUGAUUAGCUAGUUGGUAGGGUAAUGGCCUACCAAGGCGAUGAUCAGUAGCUGGUCUGAGAGGAUGGUCAGCCAGAUGGGGACUGAGACACGGCCCCAACUCCUACGGGAGGCAGCAGCAAGGAAUCUUGGGCAAUGAGCGAAAGCUUGACCCAGCGACACCGCGUGAGGGAUGAAGGCCUUCGGGUUGUAAACCUCUUUUCUUGGGGAAGAAUUCUGACGGUACCCAAGGAAUAAGCCUCGGCUAACUACGUGCCAGCAGCCGCGGUAAGACGUAGGAGGCGAACGUUAUUCGGAUUUACUGGGCGUAAAGGGAGCGUAGGCGGUUCCUUAAGUCAGAUGUGAAAUCUUCUGAUUCAAUCAGAAGGCGUCAUUUGAUACUGAGGGACUUGAGAGCAACAGAGGGAAAUGGAAUCCCCAGUGUAGCGGUGAAAUGCGUAGAUAUUGGGGAGAACACCAGUGGCGAAGGCGAUUUCCCAGGUUGUUUCUGACGCUGAGGCUCGAAAGCGUGGGGAGCGAAGCGGAUUAGAUACCCGCGUAGUCCACGCCGUAAACGGUGGACACUAGAUAUGGGGAGUAUCGACCCUUUCCGUGUCGAAGCUAACGCCUUAAGUGUCCCGCCUGGGGAGUACGGCCGCAAGGCUAAAACUCAAAGGAAUUGACGGGGGACCGCACAAGCAGCGGAGCGUGUGGUUUAAUUCGAUGCUACACGAAGAACCUUACCAGGACUUGACAUGGCAGAGUAGGAAUCCGAAAGAGACGACUGUAUCAGUCAGGAGUUGUUCACAGGUGCUGCAUGCUGUCGUCAGUCUGCGGAGGUGUUUGGGUAAGUCCCGCACGAGCGCACCUGUUCUUUGUUAAAUUCUCAUAGAACUGCUGGUACAGCAGAGAGAAGAUGACGUCAGUCAGCAUG
Molecule: ribosomal RNA, 1141 nt
Filed under: uncultured bacterium
Lineage: Bacteria
Description: bacterial SSU rRNA
Rfam family: Bacterial small subunit ribosomal RNA
Source: RNAcentral